CCGGCGAUUUCCGAAUGGGGAAACCCAGUGUGUUUCGACACACUAUCAUUAACUGAAUCCAUAGGUUAAUGAGGCGAACCGGGGGAACUGAAACAUCUAAGUACCCCGAGGAAAAGAAAUCAACCGAGAUUCCCCCAGUAGCGGCGAGCGAACGGGGAGGAGCCCAGAGCCUGAAUCAGUGUGUGUGUUAGUGGAAGCGUCUGGAAAGGCGCGCGAUACAGGGUGACAGCCCCGUACACAAAAAUGCACAUAUUGUGAGCUCGAUGAGUAGGGCGGGACACGUGGUAUCCUGUCUGAAUAUGGGGGGACCAUCCUCCAAGGCUAAAUACUCCUGACUGACCGAUAGUGAACCAGUACCGUGAGGGAAAGGCGAAAAGAACCCCGGCGAGGGGAGUGAAAAAGAACCUGAAACCGUGUACGUACAAGCAGUGGGAGCCUCUUAAUGGGGUGACUGCGUACCUUUUGUAUAAUGGGUCAGCGACUUAUAUUCUGUAGCAAGGUUAACCGAAUAGGGGAGCCGAAGGGAAACCGAGUCUUAACUGGGCGUUAAGUUGCAGGGUAUAGACCCGAAACCCGGUGAUCUAGCCAUGGGCAGGUUGAAGGUUGGGUAACACUAACUGGAGGACCGAACCGACUAAUGUUGAAAAAUUAGCGGAUGACUUGUGGCUGGGGGUGAAAGGCCAAUCAAACCGGGAGAUAGCUGGUUCUCCCCGAAAGCUAUUUAGGUAGCGCCUCGUGAAUUCAUCUCCGGGGGUAGAGCACUGUUUCGGCAAG
RNAcentral lists this ribosomal RNA (774 nucleotides) under Escherichia coli. Its description in RNAcentral is "partial 23S ribosomal RNA". It matches the Rfam family "Bacterial large subunit ribosomal RNA", at positions 104 to 922 of the family's 2925-position model. Lineage: Bacteria; Pseudomonadati; Pseudomonadota; Gammaproteobacteria; Enterobacterales; Enterobacteriaceae. The record is from RNAcentral.